ACCACAAAGCUAGCCAAAAUAAAUUAACUAACAUCCAAUUAUUUCCUAACACAACCCUAACCAUCCAACCCACCUUAAAACAUUUUGCCCUUCUUAGUAUAGGCGAUAGAACAGAACCUUUGAGCUAUAGAAACUAGUACCGCAAGGGAAAGCUGAAAAAGAAAUGAAAUAACCACUAAAGUACAAAAAAGUAGAGAUCAGCCCUCGUACCUUUUGCAUCAUGAUUUAGCAAGAACAACUAGGCAAGAAGAUUUCCCAGUCUAACCUCCCGAAACUAAAUGAGCUACUUCGAAGCAGCAUAUUAGAGCCAACCCACCUCUGUGGCAAAAGAGGGGGAAGACUUCCAAGUAGCGGUGACAAGCCUACCGAAUUUAGUGAUAGCUGGUUACCCAAAAAAAGAAUCUAAGUUCUGCAUUAAUUUUUCAAUCAAGUCAACCAAAGUCUUUUUAUCAAAUCAACUGUAAAAAUUAAUAGUUAUUCAAAAAAGGUACAGCUUUUUUGAACUAAGAAACAACUUUUAUAGGAGGGUAAUGAUUAUAAUCUCCAAGGAGUUACUCUCAGUGGGCCUGGAAGCAGCCAUCUGUAAAGCAAGCGUUACAGCUCAAACUAAUAAAACACCAACAAAUUCCUAUAUUUAAUUCCCAACCCCCUAAGAUCUAUUGGGUUAUUUUAUAAACUCUAUAAAAGAAAUUAUGCUAAAAUGAGUAAUAAGGGGACAAACCCCUCCAACAACACCAGUGUAAGUCAGAAAGAAUUAAAUCGCUGAUAAUUAACCGAUGUCAGAAUUGAGACGCUUAUGGUAUAAAAAUACUAACAAGAAAACCCCGUUCAAACAAUCGUUAACCCUACACAGGAGUGUUCAAAGGAAAGAUUAAAAGAAAAUAAAGGAACUCGGCAAACACAAACUCCGCCUGUUUACCAAAAACAUCGCCUCUUGCCCCAUAUGUAUAAGAGGUCCCGCCUGCCCUGUGAUAUUUUUUAACGGCCGCGGUAUCUUGACCGUGCGAAGGUAGCGUAAUCAACUGUCUUUUAAUUGAAGGCCUGUAUGAAAGGCAUUACGAGAGUUUAUCUGUCUUUAUUUUCCAAUCAAUGAAAUUAAUCUCCUCGUGCAGAAGCGGGGAUAUAAACAUAAGACGAGAAGACCCUAUGGAGCUUCAAACACUUAAGUUACUUCUAAACAUAAACACCCCACCUUCGGGUACAACACUAAACAAGAAGCCUGACUUAACUUGUUUUUGGUUGGGGCGACCAAGGAGAAAAACAAAACCUCCUUAUCGAGUGUGUGAUCACUCACUCAAAAAUUAGAACCACCAUUCUAAUUAAUAGAAAAAUCUAACGAACAAUGACCCAGGGAACCCUCCCUGAUCAAUGGACCAAGUUACCCUAGGGAUAACAGCGCAAUCCUUUCCAAGAGCCCUCAUCACCGAAAGGGUUUACGACCUCGAUGUUGGAUCAGGACAUCCUAAUGGUGUAGCAGCUAUCAAGGGUUCGUUUGUUCAACGAUUAAAGUCCUAUGUGAUCUGAGUUCAGACCGGAGUAAUCCAGGUCAGUUUCUAUCUAUGAUGGUAUUCUUCCUAGUACGAAAGGACCGGAAAAAUGAAGCCCAUGCUAAAGGUAUGCUUCAGCCUAACCUGUUGAAACCAACUCAAACAGAUAAAGACCACCACACUUAUGCCAAAGAUAAUGGUUUU
This 1691-nucleotide ribosomal RNA is filed under the name Maculabatis gerrardi (sharpnose stingray). Its description in RNAcentral is "16S ribosomal RNA". It matches the Rfam family "Bacterial large subunit ribosomal RNA". Lineage: Eukaryota; Metazoa; Chordata; Chondrichthyes; Myliobatiformes; Dasyatidae. The record is from RNAcentral.